This is a long non-coding RNA of Mercenaria mercenaria, 317 nucleotides long. RefSeq lists it as uncharacterized. The transcript is spliced from 3 exons. Lineage: Eukaryota; Metazoa; Mollusca; Bivalvia; Venerida; Veneridae. The record is from RefSeq and is a predicted model, not a curated record.
CGCCUAUAGACUGUGGGGAACUUCCAUCAAUAGCGGAAGGUGUGGUCAUUCUGGACAAAGUCGAUGGAACUUUUUAUAACGACACAGCUACAGUGACAUGCGACGACUCUAUGUUUAAGACCUACAAAAUAGCAUGUACAAAAGAGGGAUCAUGGGAAACAGCAUUAUGCCCACCAUACAUGCUGGUGAAAAAUGCGUCCACUUGGUGGCAAGCAAAGGGAGCCUGCGAAAGUCUAGGUGGCCGACUGGCUGACAUAAAAUCCCAGAGUGAGCAGGAUGUCAUACAACAAAUCAUUGUUACCCAGAAUAUAGGAGGU